AUGCACAAAGAAGCAAGGGAAGCUCUGAGAGUAAUAUCUCUUCUAUCUAUGUUGUUGACAGCAACCCUUCCUCAGGCGAUUUCUUGUUCCUUGGUCACCUGGAGUUCUCUAAGUCUUGCAGAAAGGAUAGCUCUCGAACAGCCAGCUGUGCAGAAAGUACUAUAUGGCACCCCCUUGAAACAAAGAAAAUGUUCUUGUGAUGGACAGAAGGGCCCAACUGCUGAAGAUGAUGCCCCUUCUGUCAAAGAGCAGGAAGAGCCCGUUUCCCCAGAGACAAAGAAAUCUUCUGAUGGUAGCACUCACAGAGAAGAGUCCGAUAUGAAAUCGACCAAAGACGGUUAA
Molecule: ribosomal RNA, 342 nt
Filed under: Triticum aestivum (bread wheat)
Lineage: Eukaryota; Viridiplantae; Streptophyta; Magnoliopsida; Poales; Poaceae
Description: partial small subunit ribosomal RNA
Source: RNAcentral